GGGGAAUCUUCCGCAAUGGGCGCAAGUCUGACGGAGCAACGCCGCGUGCAGGAGGACGCUUUUCGGAGUGUAAACUGCUUUUCUGUGGGACGAGCGAGGACGGUACCACAGGAAGAAGCCCCGGCUAACUACGUGCCAGCAGCCGCGGUAAUACGUAGGGGGCGAGCGUUGUCCGGAGUUACUGGGCGUAAAGGGCAUGCAGGCGGUCGGACGCGUUUCCAGUGACAGUGGGUGGCUUACCUACCCGAGGAUUGGAAAGACGGUUUGACUUGAGGACUCGAGAGGGACACGGAAUUCCGGGUGGAGUGGUGAAAUGCGUAGAGAUCCGGAGGAACAUCAAAGGCGAAGGCAGUGUCCUGGCGAGUAACUGACGCUGAGGUGCGAAAGCUAGGGGAGCGAAAGGGAUUAGAUACCCCUGUAGUCA
This 424-nucleotide ribosomal RNA is filed under the name uncultured bacterium. Its description in RNAcentral is "bacterial SSU rRNA". It matches the Rfam family "Bacterial small subunit ribosomal RNA", at positions 356 to 796 of the family's 1533-position model. The record is from RNAcentral.